RNAcentral lists this long non-coding RNA (2803 nucleotides) under Lotus japonicus. RNAcentral describes it as "long non-coding RNA (LJAP_LNC000624)". The record is from RNAcentral. Lineage: Eukaryota; Viridiplantae; Streptophyta; Magnoliopsida; Fabales; Fabaceae.
UUAGCAAUGCUGGUAGGGGGAAUGCAUGAUCUCUCCCUAUCUAGUUUUAUGAUUUUUAUUUUUUGUGUAAAUGUGAAGACACAAUAUUUAGCCAUUAUGGCUUAGUAGUCUUCACAUUUUUAUUUCAUUUAUGCAAAUAAUACAUCUUAGGCUCACAUGUUUAUUUUCGCUACUUCCAAAAUCUUGUGGCUUUAAUUUCAAAGUGUACUGGUUAUGGUUGUAUGAAUAAAGUUUUAAUUCGUGUUGUUUUUCAAUGUUUUUUGCAUCUAUGAUUAAUCAACAAUGGCUACUUCUUGUAUUGCAAAUAAAUGAAAAAUAAUUAUUUUAUUUAAAUUUAAAUUCAUAAGCUAUCAAGAGACUCAUUUCGUAGGAUAAUGACUGUAGCAUUCAUUUUGGUUAUGAUUUACAUAUAUAUGCUACAAUUUGUACACUGUAUUUUUUGAUACUUAUCUUUAUUAAGAAUAAAAUAUAAAUUAUAAAUAACUUACAAUUCUAAAACAUCCGUCAAAAACAAAAACCAUUCCCACUUUUUUCUUUUUUGUCGCGAGAAUAUUUCUUCUUGUGAUUGUUGUCGAUUACUACCAAUACUAAUAAGGACCCCCCAAAUUAUGAAUUUAUCUUUAUUUAUUUUCUAAAAUUUACUAAUUUAUCAUAUAUAUAUAAAUAAUCAACAAAAUAAUAUGAGGAACAUUUCAGGUCUUGAUUUUUGUAUGUAUCUCUCGGGUUGUUUUUGUAUUGGUUAUGGGGUUUCUUUUUGGUUGUCCCCCUUGCCAUCGUUGCUGUUUGUUUAGCCUUGCGAUUGAUCUGGUUCCUGGGUCUUGGUCGAGGGCUUUUAGGUUUAGUGGGGUUUCCUUUUGUUCAUCGAGUUGUUCCUUUUUUGAGGCUUUACUCGCUCCCUUAAGGUUUUGUCCUUAGGGGUUUUUUGUGGAUAAUAAUACAUAAUCAUUUAUCUAUCAAAAAAAUAAUAAACAAAAUGAAAUGAAUGGAAUAAGAUUAUGAAUUAAGAGUAAAUUAGAAAAAAUAUCGCAUAGGUACCCGCAAGACAUUUGCACCUGAGAACUUUUUUAUCAAUAUAAUAAUAUUUAAAUAAUGUAUUUAUACAACAAAAAAGUUGGUGGUGAGAAAUGGGAGUUUUAGUAAUCUACUAUAAAUAUAUAAUACUAAUCCAUUAUGAAUAAAAAAAUAUGAUAGUCAUUACAAACAAUUAAAUUUGAAAUAUAAUUUUGCAUGAAUCCAUUAUAGAUAAGAUCCUUAUCCAUUAUAACCCUCAAACAAACUCAACGCAAUAGCUAUCUUCUCCAACCCAACCUCUAAUACAAUUAUUGGUUCUUAAUUAUUAUAAUUAAUUGCUAAGUUCUUUAUACACUCUGACCCUCUAGCAAACUCAAUUAUUGGUUUCCUUAGCCUCUAACACAAUUAUUGAUUUUUAAUUAUUAUAAUUAAUGACUAAGAUUAAUCUAAAUAAAAACAGGUUAUUAAAUUUAUAAAAAAUAUUUAUGCAAUUUAUUAGUGGAGUGGAUGAAGAGAAUUUGAAUUCUCAUACUACCAAGAUAUAUCAUAUUUUUUACAGCUUGAAUAUCAUAAUGACACAUGAUUAUCUAUAUCUUCUGUGAAUGGAAUGACAUUUAUGGUGAGAUUUUACACCACAAAGUGAGUUGGCAGCUAUUAGUGAAGAUCAUCACAAAUCAAACAAGGCAUGUAAACUUGACCUAUAUAUAUAUGAGACAAUUCAUGAUGAAAAACCACAACAAAUCAUUUUGAUUUUCAAUUUUAUUUCUUGUCACUUUUUUUUUCUGGCCAGCACCAUGGCCAGGAGAAAAGUGAAACGUGAAUACAUUGUCAAUGACUCUGCGAGGAAGACAACAUACAGGAAAAGGAAGAAAGGUUUGAUCAAGAAGGUGGAUGAACUAAGCACCCUUUGUGGAAUUGAAGCAUGUGCUAUAAUUUAUAGCCCCUUCGAACCUCAACCUGUGGUUUGGCCAUCCCCACCUGGGGUUCAAAAAGCGUUGGAAAGGUUGAAGACAAUGCCUGAAUUGGAGCAGAGCAAGAAGAUGGUGAACCAGGAGACUUUCACAAAACAAAUGAUCCUGAAGGCAAAAGACCAAAUGAUGAAACAAAGGAAGGAAAACAGGGAGAAAGAGAUGAACUUGCACAUGCAUAGGUGCAUCAAUGCAGGGAAGGUUCAACCCAACAUGAACAUGAAUGAUCUGAAUGAUCUUGCAUGGGUGAUUGAUCAAAAUUUGAAGGAGGUCGACCGAGCGUUGGAAAAAAUGAAUAAGACUGUGAUCCACCAGGGUCAAUCUUCAGUCUUAGUCGGUGAAAGUUCAAUCCAACCCCAAAUGGCGCUAGCACCAGCACUUGCAGUAGCCAGGAAUGUAGAAAUGGCCAUGGUGAAUGAUGCCCAUGGGCUGGUCACGGAUAAUUUUGACGCCAUGCAGAGGCAAUGGUAUAUGAAUUUGAUCAAUGAUAAUUAUGGGAAUGAGACAGUGCCAUUAUUUGGAGAUGCUAAUCUCCAAAAUGGAUUAUUUUGGCCCCACCCAUAACCUUGAGAAAAUUAUGAUGUGCCUCUUAGCAAUGCUUGUAGGGGGCAUGCAUAAACUCUCCCAAUCCAGUUUUAUGAUUUUUUUUUACUGUUUUUGCUGUAUAAAUGUGAAGACACAAAAUUAAGCGAUUAUGACCUAGUAGUCUUCACAUUUUUUUUCAUUUAUGCAAAUAAUACAUCAUGUGUAGCUUAGGCUCACAUGUUUAUUUCCGCUACUUCAAAAAUCUUGUGGCUUUAAUUUCAAAGUGUACUGGUUUUGGU